RNAcentral lists this ribosomal RNA (480 nucleotides) under uncultured bacterium. RNAcentral describes it as "partial 16S ribosomal RNA". It matches the Rfam family "Bacterial small subunit ribosomal RNA", at positions 899 to 1397 of the family's 1533-position model. The record is from RNAcentral.
ACUCAAAGGAAUAGACGGGGACCCGCACAAGCAGCGGAGCGUGUGGUUUAAUUCGAUGCAACGCGAAGAACCUUACCAGGGCUUGACAUGUACUCGCACCGGUCAGAGAUGGCCGUGCCCGCAAGGGACGAGUACACAGGUGCUGCAUGGCUGUCGUCAGCUCGUGCCGUGAGGUGUUGGGUUAAGUCCCCUAACGAGCGCAACCCCUAGCGUUGGUUGUACUUUUCCAGCGCAACUGCCCGUCAGGGAGGAAGGAGGGGAUGACGUCAAGUCAGCACGGCCCUUACGUCCUGGGCGACACACACGCUACAAUGGCCGACACAGAGGGCUGCAAAGCGGCAACGCGGAGCCAAUCCCAACAAAGUCGGUCCCAGUUCAGAUCGGUGGCUGCAACCCGCCACCGUGAAGUCGGAGUUGCUAGUAAUCGUGGGUCAGCACACCACGAUGAAUACGUUCCCGGGUCUUGUACACACCGCCCGU